AUGGAACACGACUCCGGCAACACACCCGCCCUGAUCCACUGGGAACAAACCGCUCAGAGACCUGAGGUGGGACCCAGAUCCCGGCGCCCAGAGCAAGUCAAGUCCGGCCCGCCGGAGCUGUGUCACGAAGCGAGUCUAUGGAGGCAGAUGAACCCUGAAAGCCAUAUGUUGAAGAAGCACAAGAUGGAAGGAGGCUGAGUUUCUGGGUCACUGUCAGACUAGAAAGGUUUAUGUGUACUCUUGGAUAAAUAUUGAGCCAUUGCCAUGUAUAAACCACCAUGCUGGGCCCUAUAGGCAAUGCAAAAAGAAUAUGACAGACUGUCUCACAGUGUCUGCCCUCCAGGAUCUUAAAUUUUUGAGGUAAGAUCUAUUCAAAUACAUAAUAUGGAAUACUAUGUUAUAAAUGCCAAGAGUUAUAGGCAGUAAGUGAUGCAGGGACUUAAUCCUGAGAAGGGAUACAGAAUCCCUCACUGAGGCAAUUAGAGGAGCUUUAUCAGUAGAGACAGCAUUUGUGAUGCAUCUUCCAAAAAGGGAAGAUUUGAUGUAUUGAAUAAAUUGAACAGCUAUACCCAAAGCAUACAAAACAAGGCAGGAUGGUUUCUGGCAAGGGUGUCUUCAGACCCUUCCAUGAUUUUAAUAGAUAGAUUGAGGCAUUCUUGACACAUGUUGAUUGGCAUGAUUCUGGGAUUGUUUGACAAGUCCAUUAUCCAUAAAAAUAAGCAGAUUUGGGGUCCCUAGUACAUAGGGUGAAGUAAAAAUCGUUCUCACAUUAUAAUGCAGAAUUGUAACAAAUAUAGAUUUGGUAUUGGGAAACUUAAGUUCAGAUUCUGACUUCACAGGAUAAGCAGAAAUAGUCACUCAAUGUCUUUGAGCCUAUAUUAAUUCAUAGUAUGUUAUAACUCAUCAUAUGUAUUUUAUUUGCUUCAACUACAACUUUCAUGAUAUAUUUGCAAGAAAUAUGUUCCAGAGGAAAAAAAAAAGUCUUCAGCUAGGUCAGGUUUUAUUACAAGUAGCUCUACCAUUUUAACUCUUAUAGCCAGUAGAUCCAAUGAUGCUUGAAGUGUUUAUGGCAGGUUAGGAUGAGAUAUGGAACUAGUAUUAAGGUCGAGUAGAAAAAUCACAACAGAAAGGCUGAAGAAAACUUGCAUCCUCUUCAUCAUGCAUUAUUAAAACAUAGCCCUGGGCUUGCUACUGAAUCUUCGUAGAUACUGAGUAUCUGAACAGAUGACCAUGUUACCUGAGUUGUGACCCGUUUUUCACUGGGUGUUUUCUGAUCCAUCUAGACAAAGAACUUUCAACAUUUCUUUUAGUGCCCUUCUGCUAGAGCCAAACAAGUUUUAUAUGUCUGAACAAAUCUAUGUCACUGUAAUUUUUGAAGGAUAUUUUCAUAAGUUACAAAAUUCUAAAUUGACAGUUUUCUUUUUCCUUCAGCAUUUUAAAGAUGUCAGGCAGGAGAGGGACAGAGAAAGAGGGAGGCACAGAAUCCAGUGAAAUGCUCUACCCCUGAGCUAUACCCCCGUGAGGCACAGAAUCCAAAGCAGGCUCCAGGCUCUGGCUCUGAGCUGUCAGCACAGAGCCCAACGCGGGGUUCAAACUCACCAACCGUGAGAUCAUGACCUGAGCCAAAGUAGGAUACUUAACUGACUGAGCCAUCCAGGUCUCCUAGGAGUAUCUGAUUUUAAGAUUUUCUCUUCUCUGUUUUUCAGAUGUUUGACUUUGUAUUUAUCCUAUUUGAGAUCCACU
Long non-coding RNA from Panthera uncia (snow leopard), 1743 nucleotides. RefSeq lists it as uncharacterized. Lineage: Eukaryota; Metazoa; Chordata; Mammalia; Carnivora; Felidae. The transcript has 3 exons. The record is from RefSeq and is a predicted model, not a curated record.